Molecule: long non-coding RNA, 1351 nt
Filed under: Macaca fascicularis (crab-eating macaque)
Lineage: Eukaryota; Metazoa; Chordata; Mammalia; Primates; Cercopithecidae
Description: lncRNA (ENSMFAG00000059097.1)
Source: RNAcentral
CUCCAAGUCACACAGAUAAUGAAGCUAAGCCCCUCUAGUUUUUGCCCCUCUGAGUCACAUCACUCAUCCCCUCCUCGUCCAGUUUCUCUUGUUCUUACAAGAGGAGAGGAAGGAACAUAUGGACCUUCACCAUGGUGUUCCUAUGGGCCGGUUGCAUGAGAUGCACUUCUAAAGAUUUUUAAACAUAUUGAUCCCCAGAUCCUGCCCACGAAGAUUCUGAUUCAGAUGGUUUGGACAGAUCCUACAAAUCUGUACUUUUAAAUAAGUGCUGAAAUCAAUUCCAACUUUCAGCGGUGGCUAAAAGCAAGAGGACUCCCUUGAAAUAUUCUUUGUUUCCUACCUCUAGCCCAAGGCCCAGUGAGUAGCAUGAAAAGGUCAUUUCACAUAGUGUGAGUUGAGAUUGAGACUUCAUAUCUUCCAUGCACAGAUUUUCUCUAUAGUCUAUAAGAAUUCAGAUUUAUUUAUUCUCUGGCUUACUAAUUCUAGGAGACUAAGUUAUAUGAUCCUGCAAUUUUGUUUAUUGGUCUGGCUAAGCAGGGGAUGGUGUGGACUCUGCAGGUUCCUGCUAAAGAAUAAAGAGGAGACAGGCAGAACAGGUCUGGGGGCGUUGAAGAAAGGCCUUGCCCACUAUGUAUCAUUUGGCCAGCCUAUAGCUCAGAGGCUAGCAGAGUGUAAGUGGUCAAUGAGUACUUCUUAAAUGAAUAAUGUAUUUAUCAGGGUUACAAGUUUCGGAAAAGCAGCUGAAACGUGGCUGGAUUUCAAGGGGGGAAGGAGGCCAGGCACAGUGGCUCACACCUGUAAUCCCAGCGCUUUGGGAGGCCAAGGCAGGAGGAUCGCUUGAGCCCAGGAGUUCAAGACCAGCCUGGGCAACAUAGUGAGACCCUAUCUCUACAAAAAAAAAAGUAAAUUAAAAAUAAAUUUAAAAGGAGAAGAAUACUGAAGUAUCUCCUAUGACUGAGGUGCAGCUGGGCCUUGGAAAUGUCAGAAGCAGGGCCUCAAAUGCCCCAGGCCUCUCUUCACUCAUCUUGACCUCUUUCUGCAUAUCAGCAUUAUUUCAUCCAAGGCAGAAGUGACAUUCCCCCAUAUGGCACGAAAUGAAACCACCUACACCUUCCAAGCCUCAUAUCCAACAACUCCCACCAUAGAAAGACUUAGGACUUUCUUCCCUUCAUUCCAGUUUUCAAAAUCCCAGGGAAGCCCCCUGAUCAACCCAGCUGAGUUAGGGGCGCACCUCUAGCCAGGUGGAUGGCAUUAGUUAGUGCAGACACUGUUCCUAGAGAAGAAGGAGGAAUUGUUAUGAGUCAGGCAGUUACUCCUAUUGGUGACUAUUACCAAAAAAAAAAAAAAAAAA